Molecule: ribosomal RNA, 482 nt
Filed under: uncultured bacterium
Lineage: Bacteria
Description: bacterial SSU rRNA
Rfam family: Bacterial small subunit ribosomal RNA
Source: RNAcentral
AGAGUUUGAUCAUGGCUCAGAACGAACGCUGGCGGCAUGCCUAACACAUGCAAGUCGAACGGGAUCCGGACUUCGGUUCGGUGAGAGUGGCGGACGGGUGAGUAACGCGUGGGAAUCUGCCCAGUGGUGGGGGAUAACUGCGGGAAACUGCAGCUAAUACCGCAUGAGCCCGAGAGGGGAAAGAUUUAUCGCCAUUGGAGGAGCCCGCGUUCGAUUAGGUAGUUGGUGAGGUAACGGCUCACCAAGCCUACGAUCGAUAGCUGGUCUGAGAGGAUGAUCAGCCACACUGGGACUGAGAUACGGCCCAGACUCCUACGGGAGGCAGCAGUGGGGAAUAUUGGACAAUGGGGGCAACCCUGAUCCAGCAAUGCCGCGUGAGUGAUGAAGGCCUUCGGGUUGUAAAGCUCUUUUGCCAGGGACGAUGAUGACGGUACCUGGAGAAUAAGCCCCGGCUAACUUCGUGCCAGCCGCCGCGGUAAUAC